CUAGCUAGCAUAUAUGAAUUGAACAACCAUGCAAAAAGUGAAGAAGAAGAAGAAGAAAACACAGUAUACUGCGUACGUACCUUUAUUAAUUUCACCAAAUUGUACAACAUUUAAACAAACAAAGGGCCCGAGAGCUAGCUAGAGGGUGACCGACACUACUAAUAAAAGAGGUAUAUAUAAGAAGGGGACACAUACAAUUUACAUUGACAAACCAUGCAUGCAUGAUUCCAUAUAUAUCUACGCACACGUCCAAGCAUUAAGCCAUUAAUUCUCAUUAAUCUUUCGGAUUAAUUCGACAACGGAGAAGAACUGCCAGGGUAAAUCUUGUUUUUACCACCGGAUUUACUCGUCAUCUGACCAUCACCAACACUUUUAUCUUUCACACCAUUAAUUACCUCCCUUCUUUCUUUCUCCUUCUUCAUUUUCUCCUCCAAACGCUUUUGUUGCACAUGAAGAAGACCAUAACUAGCACCGGUGGAUGACAUGACUGGGAGUUGUAUACAAAGAAAAUGAAAUUAGUAUUAUAUAUAUAUAUAUAUAUAUAUAUAUAUAUAUAUAUAUAUAUUGUGAAAGUUUCUGGGCUAUAAUUGUGUUAUAUUGUAUUGCAAUGAACUUGAAGAACCCAAAGGAGGAUAAUAUUUAUAGGCGAAAUUUUUGCCUUCUGUGAGCAAAGCAUCCAUCAU
RNAcentral lists this long non-coding RNA (683 nucleotides) under Panax ginseng (ginseng). Its description in RNAcentral is "long non-coding RNA (PGIN_LNC015203)". The record is from RNAcentral. Lineage: Eukaryota; Viridiplantae; Streptophyta; Magnoliopsida; Apiales; Araliaceae.